AUAAUUUAUAUAAAAUAUUAUGAUGAAUAUUUAUAUAAUAUUAACAUAAUUCAUAUUACUAUAUAUUUUAGUAUAUGAAAUUUUACUUUGAGAAAAUUAGAGUGCUUAAAGCAGGCAUAUGCCUUGAAUACUCCAGCAUGGAAUAAUAUUAAAGAUUUUUAUCUUUCUUAUUGGUUCUAAGAUAAGAAUAAUGAUUAAUAGGGACAGUUGGGGGCAUUUGUAUUUAACAGUCAGAGGUGAAAUUCUUAGAUUUGUUAAAGACAAACUAAUGCGAAAGCAUUUGCCAAGGAUGUUUUCAUUAAUCAAGAACGAAAGUUAGGGGAUCGAAGACGAUCAGAUACCGUCGUAGUCUUAACCAUAAACUAUGCCAACUAGAGAUUGGAGGUUGUU
RNAcentral lists this ribosomal RNA (390 nucleotides) under Cryptosporidium parvum. RNAcentral describes it as "SSU rRNA". It matches the Rfam family "Eukaryotic small subunit ribosomal RNA", at positions 670 to 1064 of the family's 1831-position model. Lineage: Eukaryota; Apicomplexa; Conoidasida; Eucoccidiorida; Cryptosporidiidae. The record is from RNAcentral.